CUGCUUGUUUGGGCAGCACAUAGACUAAAAUUGGAAUAAUACAGAGAAGAUUAGCAUGGCCCCUGUGCAAGGAUGACAUACAAAUUUGUGAAGCGUUCCAUAUUUUU
This 107-nucleotide small nuclear RNA is filed under the name Ursus americanus (American black bear). Lineage: Eukaryota; Metazoa; Chordata; Mammalia; Carnivora; Ursidae. The record is from RNAcentral.